CCCGUCCCGGGCCGGGUCUGAGGAGUGCGCUCGAACCCCCCGACCCCACGUUUCCACCCGCUCUCAGCAGGAGGUUCAGAGGAGAGUCUGGAUUCACAGAGAACAAAAGCGGAAUUAGCGCCUCUUUUGUUUUUGUGGUCUCGUGUCUGUCUGGCGUGAGCUCCUUGGGCGAUCGGAAGACAUCGAUUCCUGCUGUUUUUGUUGGAAUUGUAGAAGAAACACCCUCCAAUGUUUCCAUUUAAGGAUAUUUUAAUGCAGAUUUUGAGCUAUAACAUAAAAAGCACUGGACUAAAAUUCCAAGAUGAAAUCAUGCACAUGAACUACAAUGAAAACACGUUUACCGAACAAAUUCCUGUAUCAAGUCAUCAAAACAAUUUAGAUUAUAAUUACUUUCCAUUACUUUCUCCCAUGAUUACAUACCCAAACAUCAGGCAUCCAAAUGCAAGAUAACUCAACAGUGUUUGUUAUUACAUGUACUGUAUCUGCAUGUGCAAAGAGCUACAUUGUUAUUUUUAUUACUGAUAUUUUACACCAAUUUCCCAGGAAGUGGAAAUUUUGUUCCCCUGAACACACGAGAUAGAAACAAUGUUUUAUUGGCACUAUUUAUGCAAUUUUUCCCACAAGUUCACAACUUUGCAUGGAAGCAUUGCCUUUGGAAACACUGAGAGAUGUCUGAGAUCAUUCUAUCUCCCGAGCGUCCCGUUCUCAUCUGGGUGAUCGGUUGUUUUGUCUGUGAUCUUCAUUCGUUGCAUUUUGAAGUCAGCAUGACAAAUUCAGCGCUAGCUCCAUGCUCACUGUCCUUGACACACUUUUGCAAGGUGGACACAGUGACCAGCUCCCCAAGGACAGUAAAGCCCAGAGCCUCGACCGCAUCCAUCUUUGCGGCCCGCCGCUCCACACUCCCCUUCAAACGCCGUGGGCUCCUCUCCUGAUAAUUCCCCAUCCGCCUUUGAUUAAUGCCUGUUUACUUCAGCAGGUCAAACCAUUUCAGUUUGAGGAGGGGAGAAAUUAUGUGAAAGAAAAGUGCAAUUACUCAGGGCUUCAACCUGCCAGCUUCAGGUUAAAGGACGAAGACUCACGGAAGCCGGUGGAGAAAUUUCAGCUAAUAAGAGAAGCUCAAGAUUUCUUUGAGCAUCUCUAGAGGACACUUCUUGCCCUUCCUCUGAACAGGAGGUCGUUGUGUUUGUAGGCAGGUGAGCAGAAGUGUCUCCAGCAGUGUUUGUGGGUGUUUGUUUGUUAUUUGGAGGAGUGAGCGUUGCACGAGGCUUCGGUGCCAGUGUUUUUGGUCAUGCACGAAUGCAUGCAUGCAGGUGGGCGUCAGUUAUGAAGAAAUAAACAAAAAGCUUUCAUGUUCUUAAAAAGGUCACAGAGACUCUUUGAUAUUGACUCACGCUGCUUUUCACCGAGCGAGGGGUGAUGAGAGGGUCUCUCGUGCUCUCCAGCCGUUCCUGGGAACGUUCUGCCAUUUCUGCACAUUAUUCUCACAUGCUGAUGGUUAUAACGCACAUGUGGCACUCGGCACACUUCUGCGUGUGGGAGUGCAUGAUGCUCUAUGAAGACGCAGGGCUCAUUAGUCGCCGGAGGUAAACACAAGCACAAAGACACUGGCUGAAGGUAAUGAUCUGUUUGCUCUUCAUCAAUCCCAAAGGCACACAAAGCAGCACUGUAAGCCCUAUUUACUGCUGUUUGCUAACAAACUACUCACCCUGAGUACUAAACUUUGGCUCGUCACUCGUCUGUGAGACUGGCAGAGAUGAAAAAAUAAUAUAUUAGCAACGGCAUAUGUCAGCAAUGUUAUGAAAGCUACUCUCUCAUUCAGAAAAUGCAAAAAUUGGAGGAAAAAUAUAAAUAUGAAGGUUAAAAUGAGUUCUC
This is a long non-coding RNA of Cyprinus carpio carpio, 1872 nucleotides long. NCBI's taxonomy places the organism in Eukaryota, Metazoa, Chordata, Actinopteri, Cypriniformes, Cyprinidae. The record is from Ensembl.